RNAcentral lists this ribosomal RNA (2900 nucleotides) under Microcoleus sp. SIO2G3. RNAcentral describes it as "23S ribosomal RNA". It matches the Rfam family "Bacterial large subunit ribosomal RNA". Lineage: Bacteria; Bacillati; Cyanobacteriota; Cyanophyceae; Oscillatoriales; Microcoleaceae. The record is from RNAcentral.
UUGUGGUCAAGCAAACAAGGGCUUAUGGUGGAUACCUAGGCACACAGAGGCGAAGAAGGACGUCGCGACCGACGAUACGCUCCGGGGAGCUGGAAGCAAGCCGAGAUCCGGAGAUGUCCGAAUGGGGCAACCCCAAGAACAGCCUGUUGAAUAUAUAGACAGGCAUGAGCCAACCCAGUGAACUGAAACAUCUUAGUAGCUGGAGGAAAAGAAAUCAAAAAGAGAUUCCCCUAGUAGCGGCGAGCGAAGCGGGAAGAGCCUAAACCAACUGUUAUUACAGUUGGGGUUGUGGGACAGCGAUAUGGAAUCUGUACUGCUAGACGAAGUCAUUGAAUGUGGCACCCGAGAAGGUGAAAGUCCUGUAGUCGAAAGUGGAAAGAUACUAGCUGUAUCCCGAGUAGCAUGGGGCACGUGAAAUCCCGUGUGAAUCCGCGAGAACCAUCUCGUAAGGCUAAAUACUCCUGUGUGACCGAUAGUGAACCAGUACCGCGAGGGAAAGGUGAAAAGAACCCCGGAAGGGGAGUGAAAUAGAACAUGAAACCGUAAGCCUACAAGCAAUGGGAGGACGAUUCAACGUCUGACCGUGUGCCUGUUGAAGAAUGAGCCGGCGACUUACAGGUCGUGGCAGGUUAAGGUGAAAAGCCCGAGCCAAAGCGAAAGCGAGUCCAAAAAGGGCGAAUAUUGUCACGAGUUGUAGACCCGAACCCGGGUGAUCUAACCAUGUCCAGGAUGAAGCUUGGGUAACACCAAGUGGAGGUCCGAACCGACCGAUGUUGAAAAAUCGGCGGAUGAGGUGUGGUUAGGGGUGAAAUGCCAAUCGAACCCGGAGCUAGCUGGUUCUCCCCGAAAUGUGUUGAGGCGCAGCGGUGAUGGUUUAAAUCUGGGGGUAAAGCACUGUUUCGGUGCGGGCUGCGAGAGCGGUACCAAAUCGAGACAAACUCUGAAUACCAGAAGUACACAUCACCAGUGAGACGGUGGGGGAUAAGCUUCAUCGUCAAGAGGGAAACAGCCCAGACCACCAGCUAAGGCCCCCAAAUGGUCACUCAGUGAUUAAGGAGGUGGAAUUGCUAAGACAACCAGGAGGUUUGCCUAGAAGCAGCCAUCCUUGAAAGAGUGCGUAAUAGCUCACUGGUCAAGCGAUUCUGCGCCGAAAAUGAACGGGGCUAAGUGACCUGCCGAAGCUGUGGGAUAUGUAAUUUAUGUAUCGGUAGGGGAGCGUUCCCUAUGGUGAGAAGCACUAGCGGCAAGCAGGUGUGGACUGUAGGGAAGUGAGAAUGUCGGCUUGAGUAGCGCAAACUAGGGUAAGAAUCCCUAGCCCCGAAACCCUAAGGGUUCCUCCGGAAGGCUCGUCCACGGAGGGUUAGUCAGGACCUAAGGCGAGGCUGAAAAGCGUAGUCGAUGGACAACGGGUCAAUAUUCCCGUACUGAAGCGGAUUUGUGCAGAGGGACGGAGAAGGCUUACAUCAGCCGGCGAUUGGUAGUGCCGGUUUAAGCCAUCGAGGUGUUGAGGUCUGGAGAAAACAGACUGAGCCAAGAGGUGAGUACGAGAGUCUACGGAUUCGAAGUGAUAGAAGUCAAGCUUCCUAGAAAAGCUCGGUGGCACGUUAAAUCCGUUUUACCUGUACCCGAAACCGACACAGGUGGGGUGGUAGAGAAUACCGAGGGGCGCGAGAUAACUCUCUCUAAGGAACUCGGCAAAAUGGCCCCGUAACUUCGGGAGAAGGGGUGCCCUCGUAAAAGAGGGUCGCAGUGAAGAGUCCCAGGCGACUGUUUACCAAAAACACAGGUCUCCGCUAAGAAGUAAUUCGACGUAUGGGGGCUGACGCCUGCCCAGUGCCGGAAGGUUAAGGAAGUUGGUUAGCUCUUCGGAGCGAAGCUGACGACCGAAGCCCCGGUGAACGGCGGCCGUAACUAUAACGGUCCUAAGGUAGCGAAAUUCCUUGUCGGGUAAGUUCCGACCCGCACGAAAGGCGUAACGAUCUGGGAGCUGUCUCGGAGAGAGGCUCGGCGAAAUAGGAUUGUCUGUGAAGAUACGGACUACCUGCACUUGGACAGAAAGACCCUAUGAAGCUUUACUGUAGCCUGGAAUUGGGUCCGGGCUUCGCUUGCGCAGGAUAGGUGGGAGGCGUUGAACUUGACCUUGUGGGGUCAAGGGAGCCAAUGGUGAGAUACCACUCUAGCGAGGCUAGGAUUCUAACCUUGAACCGUAAUCCGGUCAAGGAACCGUUUCAGGUGGGCAGUUUGACUGGGGCGGUCGCCUCCUAAAAGGUAACGGAGGCGCGCAAAGGUUCCCUCAGGCUGGUUGGAAAUCAGCCAAAGAGUGUAAAGGCAAAAGGGAGCUUGACUGCAAGAGGGACAACUCAAGCAGGGACGAAAGUCGGCCUUAGUGAUCCGACGGCACUGCAUGGAAGGGCCGUCGCUCAACGGAUAAAAGUUACUCUAGGGAUAACAGGCUGAUCUCCCCCAAGAGUCCACAUCGACGGGGAGGUUUGGCACCUCGAUGUCGGCUCAUCGCAACCUGGGGCGGAAGUACGUCCCAAGGGUUGGGCUGUUCGCCCAUUAAAGCGGUACGUGAGCUGGGUUCAGAACGUCGUGAGACAGUUCGGUCCAUAUCCGGUGCAGGCGCAAGAGCAUUGAGAGGAGCCUUCCUUAGUACGAGAGGACCGGGAAGGACGCACCGCUGGUGUACCAGUUAUCGUGCCAACGGUAAACGCUGGGUAGCCAUGUGCGGAGCGGAUAACCGCUGAAAGCAUCUAAGUGGGAAGCCCACCUCAAGAUGAGUGCUCUCACCACUUUCAAGUGGGUAAGGUCACGGGCAGAACACCCGUUAAUCGGCGCUAGGUGGAAGGGCAGUAAUGUCUGUAGCCGAGGCGUGCGAACCGACCGAGGGCUUGACCUCA